AUGCAUGUUUAAGCAGAAGCCGCACAAUGGUAAAGCCGCGAAUGGCUCAUUACAACAGCCGUCGUUUCUUGGAUCUCUAAUUUUACUUGGAUAACUGUGGUAAUUCUAGAGCUAAUACACGCACUAAAGCUCUGACCUUAUGGGACGAGCGCAUUUAUUAGAACAAAACCAAUCGGGUUUCGGCCCGUUCGUUGGUGACUCUGAAUAACUCUGCCGAUCGCACGGUCUCGCACUGGCGACGUAUCUUUCAAGUGUCUGCCUUAUCAACUUUCGAUGGUAGUUUAUGUGCCUACCAUGGUUGUAACGGGUAACGGAGAAUAAGGGUUCGACUCCGGAGAGGGAGCCUGAGAAACGGCUACCACAUCCAAGGAAGGCAGCAGGCGCGCAAAUUACCCACUCUCAGCACGAGGAGGUAGUGACGAAAAAUAACGAGACGGAUCUCUUUGAGGCCCGUUAUUGGAAUGAGAACAAUUCAAAUCCUUUAACGAGGAUCUAGCGGAGGGCAAGUCUGGUGCCAGCAGCCGCGGUAAUUCCAGCUCCGCAGGUGUAUAUCUAUGCUGCUGCGGUUAAAAAGCUCGUAGUUGGAUCUGCGUGCUCGGAACUGGUUGGCUCACUGAGUUCAAACUGGUCUCCGGCGCUUUAUUUGCUGGUUUUCCCUUGAUGCUCUUAACCGGGUGUCUCGGGUGGCUAGCGUGUUUACUUUGAAAAAAUUAGAGUGCUCAAUACAGGCGCAAAGCCUUGAAUAGUGGUGCAUGGAAUAAUAGAAUAGGACCUCGGCUCUAUUUUGUUGGUUUUCGGAACGCGAGGUAAUGAUUAAGAGGGACAGACGGGGGCAUUCGUAUUGCGACGUUAGAGGUGAAAUUCUUGGAUCGUCGCAAGACGGACGACUGCGAAAGCAUUUGCCAAGAAUGUUUUCAUUAAUCAAGAACGAAAGUUAGA
This 939-nucleotide ribosomal RNA is filed under the name Sabatieria mortenseni. Its description in RNAcentral is "SSU rRNA". It matches the Rfam family "Eukaryotic small subunit ribosomal RNA", at positions 51 to 994 of the family's 1831-position model. The record is from RNAcentral. Lineage: Eukaryota; Metazoa; Nematoda; Chromadorea; Araeolaimida; Comesomatidae.